Panicum virgatum (switchgrass) is the source of this 1075-nucleotide long non-coding RNA. RefSeq lists it as uncharacterized. The record is from RefSeq and is a predicted model, not a curated record. NCBI's taxonomy places the organism in Eukaryota, Viridiplantae, Streptophyta, Magnoliopsida, Poales, Poaceae. The transcript has 4 exons.
CCCUAGCGGACCACGGUCAUCUCCUUCCCAGCCCCCACGCCCCCUUCAGAUCCACGCGCCUCUGCCUCUCCACCGAAGCCUACUCAGAUCUGCUGCAGGAGGCGAGAGGCCAGUGAGCGGCGGCCGAGCGCUAGCCGCUAGGCGGGCCCCGGCCCGCGCGCGCCGCGCCAGGGAUACGCGUUGGGCGGUGGCUCCCCCUCCGCGACCGGCGGCCGCAGCUCGGCGCCAGCUCGCGGCUCAACCUCCACGAGGCGCCAACGGAUGGGCAGGCAGCGGCCUGCCGGCGCAGCUCGGCCCCGGCGUGCGGCUCCGCCUCUGCGAGGCGUAGGCAGAAGGGUAAGCAGCAGCUGCCGGCGCAUCUAAUUAGACGCUGUUGCCGCUGCCGGCGGCGGCAUCCACAUCCAGCACGCCCGCAACGCUCCGUCACCAUGGCUGGCGUGCACAUCACGCACGUCCGCGAAUACAUUGUAUAUUGCUGAAGAGGAUGUCAAUCACUUCCAUUCUGAUGGGUAUGCUCUUUUUGAAACAGGAGUAGACCAGGAACUUUGCAUUUACAAAAUAAAACAGGGAGAAGUCAAGGAUAGCUUUAUCGAUCAGACAAUUGGAGGAAGAUCCUUUAUUGGAGACAUUGGACAAAGUUAUUCCUUUGGUUAGUAGAAACAAAGGGUGCUGCUGAUGAUAACUUCUUUGCAAGCGUUCAGUCUAUUGCAGUGUGCAUCUGGUGAUUUAAAAGGUUAAAGAACUGGCAGUUAGAAUAGAAGAGAAGCCUCACAGAGAAGAAAUCAUUGCUAGCCAAAUGUGCUGCCACAACACUCAUCAAAACUGAUGUGGUGAUGAAAAAGAGUUCUUUGCUUCCUUAAUUGCUGUUGCUGGUUCAUACUCCUGAUGAAACCUAUCUUCUAUUGUUUCUGCUCUAUUUUGUUUGUCUUUUUUCCUGUAAUGUUAGGCUGCUAGUUUUGAUACAUGGAAAAAAACUUUAUGUGAUCCAUUAUUCUGAUGUCAUGAUGUUGGGGUGCAAACAUUAUUGAUAUGACAUUAUAAUUUUGGAUGUAAUUGCUUAUUGUGACUUUUGUGC